RNAcentral lists this ribosomal RNA (301 nucleotides) under uncultured bacterium. RNAcentral's name for it is "partial 16S ribosomal RNA". It matches the Rfam family "Bacterial small subunit ribosomal RNA", at positions 509 to 807 of the family's 1533-position model. The record is from RNAcentral.
CAGCCGCCGCGGUAAUACGAAGGGUGCAAGCGUUAAUCGGAAUUACUGGGCGUAAAGCGUGCGUAGGCGGUUUGUUAAGUCUGCUGUGAAAUCCCCGGGCUCAACCUGGGAAUGGCAGUGGAUACUGGCAAGCUAGAGUGUGUCAGAGGAUGGUGGAAUUCCCGGUGUAGCGGUGAAAUGCGUAGAGAUCGGGAGGAACAUCAGUGGCGAAGGCGGCCAUCUGGGACAACACUGACGCUGAUGCACGAAAGCGUGGGGAGCAAACAGGAUUAGAUACCCGUGUAGUCCCUGUCUCUUAUAC